AACGAACGCUGGCGGCAUGCCUAACACAUGCAAGUCGAACGAGACCGUCGGGUCUAGUGGCGCACGGGUGCGUAACGCGUGGGAACCUGCCCUUAGGUUCGGAAUAACUCCCCGAAAGGGGUGCUAAUACCGGAUAAUGUCUUCGGACCAAAGAUUUAUCGCCUUUGGAUGGGCCCGCGUUGGAUUAGCUAGUUGGUAGGGUAAAAGCCUACCAAGGCGACGAUCCAUAGCUGGUCUGAGAGGAUGAUCAGCCACACUGGGACUGAGACCCGGCCCAGAAUCCUACGGGAGGCAGCAGUGGGGAAUAUUGGACAAUGGGCGCAAGCCUGAUCCAGCAAUGCCGCGUGAGUGAUGAAGGCCUUAGGGUUGUAAAGCUCUUUUACCCGGGAUGAUAAUGACAGUACCGGGAGAAUAAGCUCCGGCUAACUCCGUG
This 433-nucleotide ribosomal RNA is filed under the name uncultured bacterium. RNAcentral's name for it is "partial 16S ribosomal RNA". It matches the Rfam family "Bacterial small subunit ribosomal RNA", at positions 29 to 507 of the family's 1533-position model. The record is from RNAcentral.